AAUCAACGCUGGCGGCGUGCCUAACACAUGCAAGUCGAACGCGAAAGUCCCUUCGGGGAUGAGUAGAGUGGCGUCCGGGUGAGUAACGCGUGGGUAAUCUACCCUUGGGUGGGAAGUAACCAGUCGAAAGAUUGGCUAAUACCGCAUAAUGCAGCGGCUCGACAUCGAGACAGUUGUUAAAGCGCAAUCGCAAGAUUGCGCGCCUAAGGAGGAGCCUGCGUCUGAUUAGCUUGUUGGUGAGGUAAUGGCUCACCAAGGCUGCGAUCAGUAGCUGGUCUGAGAGGACGGCCAGCCACAAUGGCACUGAAACACGGG
This 315-nucleotide ribosomal RNA is filed under the name uncultured bacterium. RNAcentral's name for it is "bacterial SSU rRNA". It matches the Rfam family "Bacterial small subunit ribosomal RNA", at positions 32 to 330 of the family's 1533-position model. The record is from RNAcentral.